GACGAACGCUGGCGGCGUGCUUAACACAUGCCAGUCGAACGGAAAGGCCCUGCUUUUGUGGGGUGCUCGAGUGGCGAACGGGUGAGUAACACGUGAGUAACCUGCCCUUGACUUUGGGAUAACUUCAGGAAACUGGGGCUAAUACCGGAUAGGAGCUCCUGCUGCAUGGUGGGGGUUGGAAAGUUUCGGCGGUUGGGGAUGGACUCGCGGCUUAUCAGCUUGUUGGUGGGGUAGUGGCUUACCAAGGCUUUGACGGGUAGCCGGCCUGAGAGGGUGAACGGCGACAUUGGGACUGAGAUACGGCCCAGACUCGUACGGGAGGCAGCAGUGGGGAAUAUUGCACAAUGGGCGGAAGCCUGAUGCAGCAACGCCGCGUGCGGGAUGACGGCCUUCGGGUUGUAAACCGCUUUCGCCUGUGACGAAGCGUGAGUGACGGUAAUGGGUAAAGAAGCACCGGCUAACUACGUG
This 468-nucleotide ribosomal RNA is filed under the name uncultured bacterium. RNAcentral describes it as "partial 16S ribosomal RNA". It matches the Rfam family "Bacterial small subunit ribosomal RNA", at positions 28 to 507 of the family's 1533-position model. The record is from RNAcentral.